GGUUGUGGCUCAGUGGUAGAGCACUGCCUAGCAUAUGAGAGGCACUGGGUUCGAAUCUCAGUACCA
RNAcentral lists this transfer RNA (66 nucleotides) under Marmota monax (woodchuck). Its description in RNAcentral is "tRNA.Ala". The record is from RNAcentral. Lineage: Eukaryota; Metazoa; Chordata; Mammalia; Rodentia; Sciuridae.